This 1262-nucleotide small RNA is filed under the name Drosophila mojavensis. Its description in RNAcentral is "GI26534". The record is from RNAcentral. Lineage: Eukaryota; Metazoa; Arthropoda; Insecta; Diptera; Drosophilidae.
CUUUGUUGAUACUAUUAAAAUUUUUACUACAGAUAAUUCGUUUGUCACACUAAUGAGCUAAUGUAAUAACUGUAAUUUGUGUAUCUAUCUAAAUGUUAUUAAUAGAUUUAAAAAGGUAUAUUAACGCAUCAUAUCUGGCAUACGAAAACUUAUAGUCCAAGAACUAUGGUUUUCGGGUCCACUUUGCGGCGGAGCACUGGAACCAAGAAUUAAGUGAUCGCAUGCAUUCUUAGCCAGCGGGCGUAAAUUGUGGAGACUGCUAUGAAACGAGAUCCGAUCGCCUUGAGUCAUGAUGAGCUCGCAGCUCUACAUCAGAUGUAAAAGGUUCACAUCCUAACAGACUUGUCGAUGCCUGCUGAACGAGCAGCUCGUACUCAUACCAAUUUCAACUCUUCAGUGUGCAGUGACCUGUGAUUACUUUCUAAAUGCUUCACAAUGUUUUCGCCAUGCACACAGCAGUCGUCCCAACCUGGUAAACAGGCACGGCAAAUCGGACACUCGGUCAUGCCCACAAUUGAACUAGAUAUUACAUUGGGUAUGGGACUAAAACGAAGAUUAAUCUUAAAACUGGACGUCAUAUAUGGAAAUACCAGUACACCUGUGGUAGCGAGGGACGACGCGAUAGAUAGAUGAUAGCAUGCGGCGUGUAGACUACAGCAUUACGCCCAGAAUGUAGCUGAUCAUCGACAACAUGUGCACUCAACAUACAUCAAUGACGAGCAAAGUGACGUCUAGGUUAUUGAAUCGAGAGUGCAGAGUAAUAUGAAGACGCCAAUGGUUAUACCAUCUUCCAAAAGCUCAGGCUCAUACUCGCUGCUUUUCUCGUCCGAUAGAUUGCGUCGUCCUUUGCGUCGUAGAUUACAAUGUCGUCGCUCUUUGCGUUCUAGCAGCUUGGGCGUAAUGUGCUCAUUAUUAUUGCUCAUUUCUUGCAGCACGCCAGAUCAGUUUGCUCACCAAAUCAUUACACCUGCGAACGACCCUCUACUGCAAUGUAUUACUUUAGCUGUUUAGUAAUACAGCUAGGCGCAAAAAUGAGAAAAUAAUUUUUCAUAUACAAAAUUGUCAUAUUUGAAUUAAUUGGCAUUAAAAUUCUUUUGAGAUAUCAACAACUUUUUGUACUGACGCCUGUCGAUAUAUUUCAUAUCCAUCUGGCCCUCGAAGAGAUGCAUACUUAUAAUAUUUUUUAAGAGUACAUAUGCACAUAUGCAAUGUUGCCAGGUUUUGAGACAUAACAAGUAAGAACGUUGCAGUCGGGCGUUACC